This 266-nucleotide ribosomal RNA is filed under the name uncultured bacterium. RNAcentral describes it as "partial 16S ribosomal RNA". It matches the Rfam family "Bacterial small subunit ribosomal RNA", at positions 524 to 788 of the family's 1533-position model. The record is from RNAcentral.
UACGAAGGGGGCUAGCGUUGCUCGGAAUCACUGGGCGUAAAGCGCACGUAGGCGGACUCUUAAGUCAGGGGUGAAAUCCUGGAGCUCAACUCCAGAACUGCCUUUGAUACUGAGGAUCUUGAGUUCGGGAGAGGUGAGUGGAACUGCGAGUGUAGAGGUGAAAUUCGUAGAUAUUCGCAAGAACACCAGUGGCGAAGGCGGCUCACUGGCCCGAUACUGACGCUGAGGCACGAAAGCGUGGGGAGCAAACAGGGAUUAGAUACCUU